Molecule: long non-coding RNA, 532 nt
Organism: Larimichthys crocea (large yellow croaker)
Lineage: Eukaryota; Metazoa; Chordata; Actinopteri; Sciaenidae
Exons: 2
Source: RefSeq, a predicted model, not a curated record
UCCAUUACUAGUACUACGGGAUGUCUAUAAGAGCAGAUCACCGGGACAGCCCGCUGAAUUUCAUGAGAUACCGAGAUGCAAGAGCGAGAAGCGAGACUGAAAAGAAAAAAAAGAAGAAAAAGAAAUUAGAGAUACUUUUACUGAAAAUUACGCACCAGAGCUGGCGAUGGGGUUAGACAGGUUUGAUCAAGUCGUGAACUGAAGAAACCUCACCAGGACUGAUGAAAACCCGAAAGGUAAGUUUUAUUUCCUUUCCAUUGUGCAAAUUUCUUUGUCUUCUACAUAUUUGGGAUGAUUACAAUGGCUGUGAUCCACGUGCAGCAAGAAAUUACAACAACAAAGAGCUUUGUUAAAUCACUGUAAGCUCACUCUUUCUUUCUCCCACCCCCCCUCCUUCCCCUUCCACCGUCUGUCACUGAAUUUUCCCCUGCGUGCCAUUUCGUGAAUGUACGGUAGAUUACAGAGUCUGGAAGUUACUGCAGUGUGAGUCACUUUGGCGCACAUGGGCAGUGACAACUGAAAAAAAAAAAAA